AUUGAACGCUGGCGGCAUGCCUUACACAUGCAAGUCGAACGGCAGCGGGGGAGAAGCUUGCUUUUCCUGCCGGCGAGUGGCGAACGGGUGAGUAAUACAUCGGAACGUGCCCUGUAGUGGGGGAUAACUAGUCGAAAGAUUAGCUAAUACCGCAUACGACCUGAGGGUGAAAGUGGGGGACCGCAAGGCCUCAUGCUAUAGGAGCGGCCGAUGUCUGAUUAGCUAGUUGGUGGGGUAAAGGCCUACCAAGGCGACGAUCAGUAGCUGGUCUGAGGGGACGAUCAGCCACACUGGGACUGAGACACGGCCCAGACUCCUACGGGAGGCAGCAGUGGGGAAUUUUGGACAAUGGGCGAAAGCCUGAUCCGGCAAUGCCGCGUGUGUGAAGAAGGCCUUCGGGUUGUAAAGCACUUUAGUCCGGAAAGAAAUGGCUCUGGUUAAUACCUGGGGUCGAUGACGGUACCGGAAGAAUAAGGACCGGCUAACUACGUGCCAGCCGCCGCCGUAA
This 508-nucleotide ribosomal RNA is filed under the name uncultured bacterium. RNAcentral's name for it is "partial 16S ribosomal RNA". It matches the Rfam family "Bacterial small subunit ribosomal RNA", at positions 30 to 523 of the family's 1533-position model. The record is from RNAcentral.